Molecule: ribosomal RNA, 275 nt
Filed under: uncultured fungus
Lineage: Eukaryota; Fungi
Description: partial large subunit ribosomal RNA
Source: RNAcentral
ACGUAAGAGGGCGUGCGUGAGUUUCGGCCUCGCUGUUUGCAUGUUUGUGCGCUUUGGGUGUACUUUUUCCUAUGGGUGGCCAACAUCAGUUUCGAUUACUAUAAAAUGACUGGCGGAAUGUAGCUUCCAUUUCGGUUGAAGUGUUAUAGCCUCCGGUAGAUGUGGUGAUUGGGACUGAGGAUUGCAACGAAUAUCCUUUGGGCUAUCCGUCUGGCCUCUGAAAGUUGCUUGGGUGCUGAAAACUUGCUUAUGGUUAUCUAAGUUAACGGUCAAUA